AAAUCAUGAUGAGGAUAAAGGCGUUGCAGAUCCUUGAAUCUUUAUCAAGCUUCAUACAAUGACUCGCCAGGAUCUUGAGUGAAAGUAAUUAUCGCAUGAUGCAUAU
This is a non-coding RNA of Beta vulgaris subsp. vulgaris (sugar beet), 106 nucleotides long. The record is from Rfam. Lineage: Eukaryota; Viridiplantae; Streptophyta; Magnoliopsida; Caryophyllales; Amaranthaceae.